RNAcentral lists this long non-coding RNA (204 nucleotides) under Numida meleagris (helmeted guineafowl). RNAcentral's name for it is "lncRNA (ENSNMEG00000014444.1)". The record is from RNAcentral. Lineage: Eukaryota; Metazoa; Chordata; Aves; Galliformes; Numididae.
GUACAUUUUUGGCCAUUAUUGAUAGCCAGUCAUGGUGAGGUCAUCACAGAUCCAUUCUGUUCAAUUCUGAGCAUCGAGGAAGGGCAUCUCUCCCUGAAGUCGCCUAGCAAUGAUUUUACAUUCUGGCUAUCCUGUAUUUGCUGGUUUGGAUAGCACAAUGAGCACCAUUACAUUCACAAAUUGCUGCACAGAACAGACACGGCA